AAACCGAGGAAGAAAGCAAGAAAUGAGGGAAUUCCGAGGGGAGGCGGAAACCCUAACGGUAAGGCCAGGAAUAGGGAAGAUGUGUCUGGGGGAGAAGCGGAGGAAGAGAAAAAGAGAAGGUUUCUUGUUUCCUCUCUGUUUCCGUUUGCUUCUUUUUAGGGUUCCGUUCAGAUGACCGGAAUUUUUGCGCUCGCCGGCCGUUUCCGCCAGAGGAGAGGGAAGAUGGAGGGGAGAAGUAAGGAAGAUGCCAUGAGAGGGCCCGCGAUGCACGAAACAGAGCGAUGCACGGGAGAAAGGAGAGGUG
This 304-nucleotide long non-coding RNA is filed under the name Phoenix dactylifera (date palm). RNAcentral's name for it is "long non-coding RNA (PDAC_LNC013317)". Lineage: Eukaryota; Viridiplantae; Streptophyta; Magnoliopsida; Arecales; Arecaceae. The record is from RNAcentral.